This 253-nucleotide ribosomal RNA is filed under the name uncultured bacterium. RNAcentral describes it as "partial 16S ribosomal RNA". It matches the Rfam family "Bacterial small subunit ribosomal RNA", at positions 524 to 776 of the family's 1533-position model. The record is from RNAcentral.
UACAGAGGGGGCGAGCGUUGUUCGGAAUUACUGGGCGUAAAGGGCGCGUAGGCGGCCAACUAAGUCAGACGUGAAAUCCCUCGGCUCAACCGGGGAACUGCGUCUGAUACUGGAUGGCUUGAAUUCGGGAGAGGGAUGCGGAAUUCCAGGUGUAGCGGUGAAAUGCGUAGAUAUCUGGAGGAACACCGGUGGCGAAGGCGGCAUCCUGGACCGAGAUUGACGCUGAUGCGCGAAAGCGUGGGGAGCGAACAGG